AACGAACGCUGGCGGCAUGCCUAACACAUGCGAGUCGAACGAGACCUUCGGGUCUAGUGGCGCACGGGUGCGUAACGCGUGGGAACCUGCCCUUAGGUUCGGAAUAACUCCCCGAAAGGGGUGCUAAUACCGGAUAAUGUCUUCGGACCAAAGAUUUAUCGCCUUUGGAUGGGCCCGCGGUGGAUUAGCUAGUUGGUAGGGUAAAAGCCUACCAAGGCGACGAUCCAUAGCUGGUCUGAGAGGAUGAUCAGCCACACUGGGACUGAGACACGGCCCAGACUCCUACGGGAGGCAGCAGUGGGGAAUAUUGGACAAUGGGCGAAAGCCUGAUCCAGCAAUGCCGCGUGAGUGAUGAAGGCCUUAGGGUUGUAAAGCUCUUUUACCCGGGAUGAUAAUGACAGUACCGGGAGAAUAAGCUCCGGCUAACUCCGUG
RNAcentral lists this ribosomal RNA (433 nucleotides) under uncultured bacterium. RNAcentral's name for it is "partial 16S ribosomal RNA". It matches the Rfam family "Bacterial small subunit ribosomal RNA", at positions 29 to 507 of the family's 1533-position model. The record is from RNAcentral.